CAUGGCUCAGGGUGAACGCUAGCUACAGGCUUAACACAUGCAAGUCGAGGGGCAUCAGGAAGAAAGCUUGCUUUCUUUGCUGGCGACCGGCGCACGGGUGAGUAACACGUAUCCAACCUGCCCUUUACUCGGGGAUAGCCUUUCGAAAGAAAGAUUAAUACCCGAUAGCAUAAUGAUUCCGCAUGGUUUCAUUAUUAAAGGAUUCCGGUAAAGGAUGGGGAUGCGUUCCAUUAGGUUGUUGGUGAGGUAACGGCCCACCAAGCCUUCGAUGGAUAGGGGUUCUGAGAGGAAGGUCCCCCACAUUGGAACUGAGACACGGUCCAAACUCCUACGGGAGGCAGCAGUGAGGAAUAUUGGUCAAUGGGCGCUAGCCUGAACCAGCCAAGUAGCGUGAAGGAUGAAGGCUCUAUGGGUCGUAAACUUCUUUUAUAUAAGAAUAAAGUGCAGUAUGUAUACUGUUUUGUAUGUAUUAUAUGAAUAAGGAUCGGCUAACUCCGUGCCAGCAGCCGCGGUAAUACGGAGGAUCCGAGCGUUAUCCGGAUUUAUUGGGUUUAAAGGGAGCGUAGGUGGACUGGUAAGUCAGUUGUGAAAGUUUGCGGCUCAACCGUAAAAUUGCAGUUGAUACUGUCAGUCUUGAGUACAGUAGAGGUGGGCGGAAUUCGUGGUGUAGCGGUGAAAUGCUUAGAUAUCACGAAGAACUCCGAUUGCGAAGGCAGCUCACUGGACUGCAACUGACACUGAUGCUCGAAAGUGUGGGUAUCAAACAGGAUUAGAUACCCUGGUAGUCCACACAGUAAACGAUGAAUACUCGCUGUUUGCGAUAUACAGUAAGCGGCCAAGCGAAAGCAUUAAGUAUUCCACCUGGGGAGUACGCCGGCAACGGUGAAACUCAAAGGAAUUGACGGGGGCCCGCACAAGCGGAGGAACAUGUGGUUUAAUUCGAUGAUACGCGAGGAACCUUACCCGGGCUUAAAUUGCAGUGGAAUGAUGUGGAAACAUGUCAGUGAGCAAUCACCGCUGUGAAGGUGCUGCAUGGUUGUCGUCAGCUCGUGCCGUGAGGUGUCGGCUUAAGUGCCAUAACGAGCGCAACCCUUAUCCUUAGUUACUAACAGGUUAUGCUGAGGACUCUAGAGAGACUGCCGUCGUAAGAUGUGAGGAAGGUGGGGAUGACGUCAAAUCAGCACGGCCCUUACGUCCGGGGCUACACACGUGUUACAAUGGGGGGUACAGAAGGCAGCUAGCGGGUGACCGUAUGCUAAUCCCAAAAUCCUCUCUCAGUUCGGAUCGAAGUCUGCAACCCGACUUCGUGAAGCUGGAUUCGCUAGUAAUCGCGCAUCAGCCACGGCGCGGUGAAUACGUUCCCGGGCCUUGUACACACCGCCCGUCAAGCCAUGGGAGCCGGGGGUACCUGAAGUACGUAACCGCAAGGAUCGUCCUAGGGUAA
RNAcentral lists this ribosomal RNA (1444 nucleotides) under uncultured organism. Its description in RNAcentral is "SSU rRNA". It matches the Rfam family "Bacterial small subunit ribosomal RNA". The record is from RNAcentral.